This 253-nucleotide ribosomal RNA is filed under the name uncultured bacterium. RNAcentral's name for it is "partial 16S ribosomal RNA". It matches the Rfam family "Bacterial small subunit ribosomal RNA", at positions 524 to 776 of the family's 1533-position model. The record is from RNAcentral.
GACAGAGGAUGCAAGCGUUAUCCGGAAUGAUUGGGCGUAAAGCGUCUGUAGGUGGCUUUUUAAGUCCGCCGUCAAAUCCCAGGGCUCAACCCUGGACAGGUAGUGGAAACUACCAAGCUAGAGUACGGUAGGGGCAGAGGGAAUUUCCGGUGGAGCGGUGAAAUGCGUAUAGAUCGGAAAGAACACCAACAGCGAAAGCACUCUGCUGGGUCGACACUGACACUGAGAGACGAAAGCUAGGGGCACGAAUGGG